UCCCUCCCCUUGUGUCUCUGACAGCUGCAGCCUCCACAGACACCAGCAGCCUCGCCCUCCUCCCCCGUCUUCCCCCCUGCCUGCCCCCCCUCCUCCUCAGCCCUCCUCUCCUGCCCGGGACAUCAAGGAGAACAAGAGGGUCCACUUUGAUCUGGAGAGUCUACACAGCUACCGUCUACACACACACACCGCCUCGUUCUGGGGACGUCCUGGCAUGGUGGGGCGACACGGCCUGGGAGGGUGUCUGGGUGGUUUAUCUCCUCCUCAGGUUAGCCUGCAUGCUAACGGUGGCCCAGCAUCGGCCCUGGCCUCCCCCGGCCUGGCCCUGCCUCCUUUGGGGAACCCAGGCAACCAGGCCUUCCUGUGGGAGGGAGAGCUCCAGGAGGUCCAGGGGAGGAUCGAGACGUUCACAGCCCAGCUGAGAGACGCCGUGGCCAGGAGGGCCGAGAUACAGACCUGCCUGGAGAACCAUAAAAUGAACUUGAGCACAGCUACUGCUGUCAAACUGGAGAAAGACAAGGUUGGCCAGUCACAAAGCCUGGAGAGAGUGAGAACCAACGCAGAGAAAGAUAGAACCAAGGAAGAGAGAGAGGGGCUCAACCAGGAGAAAGGGAGGAGUGGCAGAUCAAACCUCUGUUGCAGCCUGGACAGAAACAGAGACAGAGACAGGACAGGCAGGGACAGUUCCACUAUGAGACAAAAAGCCAGACAGGACACAGACAGGGACAGACUGUUACACCAAUCAGAAACUGAGAGAGACCGAGAUGGCCAAUCAAAAAGCCUGGACAGAAAUGGGAGCAGCCAAUCACAUGCCUCCAACAUUCUGCAGACAGGGAGGAACAGCCAAUCAGAAGCUCUGACCAUCCUACAGAGGAGAGAGAUCCAAUCAAAAACCUCCACCAGCCUGGACAGAGAGACAUCCAACCAAUCAGGUGCUGUCAAUACACUGCAGGGAGAAAGAACUGUCCAAUCACGUAACUCCACCAGCCUGGAGAGAGGAAGAGUCAGGCAAUCAGGUGCAGUGAAAGACCAGGAGAGGGGGAGAACUGUCCAAACACGGACAGGGGCUAGUCUGGACAGACUGAAAGCUAGCCAAUCCAGUGCCGGCACUGGGAAUCUGGUUAGAGAACGUCCCGCCCCCAUGGACACCCAGAAGAGUUUGUGUUAGUCAUUUGAUUGGUUAUUUAUAAGAACACAAAAGACCAAUUAGAGGGCUGGGAAAAAAAUAUAACAGGUCCAA
RNAcentral lists this long non-coding RNA (1240 nucleotides) under Oncorhynchus kisutch (coho salmon). Its description in RNAcentral is "lncRNA (ENSOKIG00005019872.1)". Lineage: Eukaryota; Metazoa; Chordata; Actinopteri; Salmoniformes; Salmonidae. The record is from RNAcentral.